RNAcentral lists this ribosomal RNA (842 nucleotides) under uncultured organism. RNAcentral's name for it is "SSU rRNA". It matches the Rfam family "Bacterial small subunit ribosomal RNA", at positions 29 to 870 of the family's 1533-position model. The record is from RNAcentral.
UUGAACGCUGGCGGCAUGCCUUACACAUGCAAGUCGAACGUUAACAGGUCUUCGGAUGCUGACGAGUGGCGAACGGGUGAGUAAUACAUCGGAACGUGCCCAGUAAUGGGGGAUAGCUCGGCGAAAGCCGGAUUAAUACCGCAUACGCCCUGAGGGGGAAAGUGGGGGAUCGCAAGACCUCACGUUAUUGGAGCGGCCGAUGGCUGAUUAGCUAGUUGGUAGGGUAAAGGCCUACCAAGGCGACGAUCAGUAGCUGGUCUGAGAGGACGAUCAGCCACACUGGGACUGCGACACGGCCCAGACUCCUACGGGAGGCACCAGUGGGGAAUUUUGGACAAUGGGGGAAACCCUGAUCCAGCAAUGCCGCGUGUGCGAAGAAGGCCUUCGGGUUGUAAAGCACUUUUGUCAGGGAAGAAAUCCUUUGGGCUAAUACCCUAGGGGGAUGACGGUACCUGAACAAUAAGCACCGGCUAACUACGUGCCAGCAGCCGCGGUAAUACGUAGGGUGCAAGCGUUAAUCGGAAUUACUGGGCGUAAAGCGUGCGCAGGCGGUUGUGUAAGACGGGUGGGAACUCCCCGGGCUUAUCCUGGGAAUUGCAUUUGUGACUGCACGACUAGAGUGUGUCAGAGGGGGGUGGAUUUCACGUGUAGCGGUGAAAUGCGUAGAUAUGGGGAGGAACACCAAUGGGGAGGGCCGCCCCCUGGGAUAACACUGACGCUCAUGCACGAAAGCGUGGGGAGCAAACAGGAUUAGAUACCCUGGUAGUCCACGCCCUAAACGAUGUCAACUAGUUGUUGGGGAUUUACUUCCUUGGUAACGUAGCUAACGCGUGAAGUUGCCC